AGUGAACGCUGGCGGUAGGCCUAACACAUGCAAGUCGAACGGCAGCACAGUAAGAGCUUGCUCUUACGGGUGGCGAGUGGCGGACGGGUGAGGAAUACAUCGGAAUCUACUUUUUCGUGGGGGAUAACGUAGGGAAACUUACGCUAAUACCGCAUACGAUCUACGGGUGUAAGCAGGGGAUAUUCGGACCUUGCGCGAAUGAAUGAGCCGAUGUCGGAUUAGCUAGUUGGCGGGGUAAAGGCCCACCAAGGCGACGAUCCGUAGCUGGUCUGAGAGGAUGAUCAGCCACACUGGAACUGAGACACGGUCCAGACUCCUACGGGAGGCAGCAGUAGGGAAUAUUGGACAAUGGGCGCAAGCCUGAUCCAGCCAUACCGCGUGGGUGAAGAAGGCCUUCGGGUUGUAAAGCCCUUUUGUUGGGAAAGAAAAGCAGCAGGUUAAUACCCCGCUGUUCUGACGGUACCCAAAGAAUAAGCACCGGCUAACUACGUG
RNAcentral lists this ribosomal RNA (492 nucleotides) under uncultured bacterium. RNAcentral describes it as "partial 16S ribosomal RNA". It matches the Rfam family "Bacterial small subunit ribosomal RNA", at positions 29 to 507 of the family's 1533-position model. The record is from RNAcentral.